This 496-nucleotide ribosomal RNA is filed under the name uncultured bacterium. RNAcentral's name for it is "partial 16S ribosomal RNA". It matches the Rfam family "Bacterial small subunit ribosomal RNA", at positions 28 to 507 of the family's 1533-position model. The record is from RNAcentral.
GAUGAACGCUGGCGGCGUGCCUAAUACAUGCAAGUCGAGCGAACAGACGAGGAGCUUGCUCCUCUGACGUUAGCGGCGGACGGGUGAGUAACACGUGGAUAACCUACCUAUAAGACUGGGAUAACUUCGGGAAACGGAGCUAAUACCGGAUAAUAUAUUGAACCGCAUGGUUCAAUAGUGAAAGACGGUUUUGCUGUCACUUAUAGAUGGAUCCGCGCCGCAUUAGCUAGUUGGUAAGGUAACGGCUUACCAAGGCAACGAUGCGUAGCCGACCUGAGAGGGUGAUCGGCCACACUGGAACUGAGACACGGUCCAGACUCCUACGGGAGGCAGCAGUAGGGAAUCUUCCGCAAUGGGCGAAAGCCUGACGGAGCAACGCCGCGUGAGUGAUGAAGGUCUUCGGAUCGUAAAACUCUGUUAUUAGGGAAGAACAAAUGUGUAAGUAACUAUGCACGUCUUGACGGUACCUAAUCAGAAAGCCACGGCUAACUACGUG